This 2805-nucleotide ribosomal RNA is filed under the name Enterobacter cloacae. Its description in RNAcentral is "bacterial LSU rRNA". It matches the Rfam family "Bacterial large subunit ribosomal RNA". The record is from RNAcentral. Lineage: Bacteria; Pseudomonadati; Pseudomonadota; Gammaproteobacteria; Enterobacterales; Enterobacteriaceae.
GGGUUGUGAGGUUAAGCGACUAAGCGUACACGGUGGAUGCCCUGGCAGUCAGAGGCGAUGAAGGACGUGCUAAUCUGCGAAAAGCGCCGGCGAGGUGAUAUGAACCUUUGACCCGGCGAUGUCCGAAUGGGGAAACCCAGUGCAAUCCGUUGCACUAUCGUUAACUGAAUACAUAGGUUAACGAGGCGAACCGGGGGAACUGAAACAUCUAAGUACCCCGAGGAAAAGAAAUCAACCGAGAUUCCCCCAGUAGCGGCGAGCGAACGGGGAGCAGCCCGGAGUCUGAAUCAGCUUGUGUGUUAGUGGAACGGUCUGGAAAGUCCGACGGUACAGGGUGAUAGUCCCGUACACGAAAGCACACUUGCUGUGAACUCGAAGAGUAGGGCGGGACACGUGGUAUCCUGUCUGAAUAUGGGGGGACCAUCCUCCAAGGCUAAAUACUCCUGACUGACCGAUAGUGAACCAGUACCGUGAGGGAAAGGCGAAAAGAACCCCGGCGAGGGGAGUGAAAAAGAACCUGAAACCGUGUACGUACAAGCAGUGGGAGCCUCUUUAUGGGGUGACUGCGUACCUUUUGUAUAAUGGGUCAGCGACUUAUAUUCUGUAGCAAGGUUAACCGUAUAGGGGAGCCGAAGGGAAACCGAGUCUUAACUGGGCGUUAAGUUGCAGGGUAUAGACCCGAAACCCGGUGAUCUAGCCAUGGGCAGGUUGAAGGUUGGGUAACACUAACUGGAGGACCGAACCGACUAAUGUUGAAAAAUUAGCGGAUGACCUGUGGCUGGGGGUGAAAGGCCAAUCAAACCGGGAGAUAGCUGGUUCUCCCCGAAAGCUAUUUAGGUAGCGCCUCGUGAACUCAUCUUCGGGGGUAGAGCACUGUUUCGGCUAGGGGGCCAUCCCGGCUUACCAACCCGAUGCAAACUACGAAUACCGAAGAAUGUUAUCACGGGAGACACACGGCGGGUGCUAACGUCCGUCGUGAAGAGGGAAACAACCCAGACCGCCAGCUAAGGUCCCAAAGUCAUGGUUAAGUGGGAAACGAUGUGGGAAGGCACAGACAGCCAGGAUGUUGGCUUAGAAGCAGCCAUCAUUUAAAGAAAGCGUAAUAGCUCACUGGUCGAGUCGGCCUGCGCGGAAGAUGUAACGGGGCUAAACCAUGCACCGAAGCUGCGGCAGCGACACUAUGUGUUGUUGGGUAGGGGAGCGUUCUGUAAGCCGUUGAAGGUGUGCUGUGAGGCAUGCUGGAGGUAUCAGAAGUGCGAAUGCUGACAUAAGUAACGAUAAAGCGGGUGAAAAGCCCGCUCGCCGGAAGACCAAGGGUUCCUGUCCAACGUUAAUCGGGGCAGGGUGAGUCGACCCCUAAGGCGAGGCCGAAAGGCGUAGUCGAUGGGAAACAGGUUAAUAUUCCUGUACUUGGUGUUACUGCGAAGGGGGGACGGAGAAGGCUAUGUCAGCCGGGCGACGGUUGUCCCGGUUUAAGCAUGUAGGCGGAGGUUCCAGGUAAAUCCGGUACCUUGUUAACGCUGAGGUGUGAUGACGAGGCACUACGGUGCUGAAGUGAUAAAUGCCCUGCUUCCAGGAAAAGCCUCUAAGCAUCAGGUAACACGAAAUCGUACCCCAAACCGACACAGGUGGUCAGGUAGAGAAUACCAAGGCGCUUGAGAGAACUCGGGUGAAGGAACUAGGCAAAAUGGUGCCGUAACUUCGGGAGAAGGCACGCUGAUAUGUAGGUGAAGCCCCUGCGGGCGGAGCUGAAAUCAGUCGAAGAUACCAGCUGGCUGCAACUGUUUAUUAAAAACACAGCACUGUGCAAACACGAAAGUGGACGUAUACGGUGUGACGCCUGCCCGGUGCCGGAAGGUUAAUUGAUGGGGUUAGCGGCAACGCGAAGCUCUUGAUCGAAGCCCCGGUAAACGGCGGCCGUAACUAUAACGGUCCUAAGGUAGCGAAAUUCCUUGUCGGGUAAGUUCCGACCUGCACGAAUGGCGUAAUGAUGGCCAGGCUGUCUCCACCCGAGACUCAGUGAAAUUGAACUCGCUGUGAAGAUGCAGUGUACCCGCGGCAAGACGGAAAGACCCCGUGAACCUUUACUAUAGCUUGACACUGAACACUGGUCCUUGAUGUGUAGGAUAGGUGGGAGGCUUUGAAGCGUGGACGCCAGUCUGCGUGGAGCCAACCUUGAAAUACCACCCUUUAAUGGCUGGUGUUCUAACGUAGACCCGUAAUCCGGGUUGCGGACAGUGUCUGGUGGGUAGUUUGACUGGGGCGGUCUCCUCCCAAAGAGUAACGGAGGAGCACGAAGGUUGGCUAAUCCUGGUCGGACAUCAGGAGGUUAGUGCAAUGGCAUAAGCCAGCUUGACUGCGAGCGUGACGGCGCGAGCAGGUGCGAAAGCAGGUCAUAGUGAUCCGGUGGUUCUGAAUGGAAGGGCCAUCGCUCAACGGAUAAAAGGUACUCCGGGGAUAACAGGCUGAUACCGCCCAAGAGUUCAUAUCGACGGCGGUGUUUGGCACCUCGAUGUCGGCUCAUCACAUCCUGGGGCUGAAGUAGGUCCCAAGGGUAUGGCUGUUCGCCAUUUAAAGUGGUACGCGAGCUGGGUUUAGAACGUCGUGAGACAGUUCGGUCCCUAUCUGCCGUGGGCGCUGGAGAAUUGAGGGGGGCUGCUCCUAGUACGAGAGGACCGGAGUGGACGCAUCACUGGUGUUCGGGUUGUCAUGCCAAUGGCACUGCCCGGUAGCUAAAUGCGGAAGAGAUAAGUGCUGAAAGCAUCUAAGCACGAAACUUGCCCCGAGAUGAGUUCUCCCUGAGAC